Molecule: long non-coding RNA, 3381 nt
Organism: Gallus gallus (chicken)
Lineage: Eukaryota; Metazoa; Chordata; Aves; Galliformes; Phasianidae
Source: Ensembl
UAAACCCAUGCAGGUCAAGGCUUGCUGCCAGACCAAAUUGUUCUUUCUUCAAUUUCCGUGAAGUCAAAUAGGAUUAAUUGCAAAGGGCAGCCAUGCAGUUCAGACCAAAAGUGCACCCACCCUAGUGCGGGGCUCUAAAAGCGCCUAGCUGAGGGUGCCUUGGGAUGAGCAAAGCCAUGGGGCACACAGAAAAAGGUGCAUUCUCAGGAUACCCUCCAGAGUUUGGCAUUAAGGAUUAUGUAUUUCUUUACACGUUCAGACACUGAUGAAUAUGAGAGAUGGUAGCAGAGAGGGCACAAGGCCUCCUACCCUGAAAGAAGGCGCUGGCACUUCAGGAGCUGGGGCCAAGUGCUGCCCACAGGGGGACCAGCGACAUCUGAAAGACCCAGCAUCAGAAGUAUCUGGAGGUUUCAUACCUAUGGAAGCCAUUUAAAGAUGGCUUUGGAAAGGAUUGCCUUAACAAAACCACCAGCUCCUACUUCUGGGAGACAACUGCCACUUUCACCCCAGGGAGUGACAUUCCAUCCCAGGAGCCACAAACAACUACAAGCAAGUUUACAGGAUUUUUCAUAGUUCGGUCCACAGCUUCAUGCCCAGCUUGCUUCAUGGUCUAAGAUCCCCUGGAUGUUUCCCAUACUCCUCGUAGAACGUGUCUGUCGUCAUUAUGGGAAGAAUCUGAGGAGCCGCGAUGAUAAGAGGGCGCUUUAUGUAACUCUUGGUUCUUGUGGCUGCAAUUUAGUGUCUAGGAACAAUGCAGAGACACAGUUAGCAUGUGACCAGCCAGCUCUCCACAGACUAUUGUCAAAGACUCCGCAAACCACAGCCUGGCAACACUUCAACCCCCAUGAAACCCCAAAUUCACUGCUUUCCCAACAAGUCUCAUUCCAGAGCACAGCAAGGAACUAUGAGCAAUUCUGGCUUCUUUUACCCUUAGGUGUGGAGCCAAGUACACACCUACAUGCGGUGUAGUCACAGCAGGUACACAUUUGCCAGGAAUGCCCACAUUUGCCCUUAGCCUGCCCUGUGUUCCUCACAGAGAAUCAGUCCUGGGCUGAGUCAGGGCUGGCAACCACUUCCUAAUGGGGCUCAGGUGCACAGCAGGGCCUGUGGGAUGAGCUUCUCAUUAUACCAAAAAUUGUUAGUGCUGGGGUGAUCCCCCAUGACUGGCUGUUGUUUGCAUGAAGCACAGAACACAACCACAUGCUACAUGGAUGAGAUGGUUCAACCGCAAAAGGCUGUUUCCUUGUGAAGAGGUUGAAGGAUGAGACCUUGCACCUUCUGCUGUUACAUCUACAUCUGAGUCUGCAUCAUGCGACUUGGGCAACCCAGAAGUACUGGAAGCCCUGGUUCCCAGAUCCACAUGCUAACCAACAGAAGGGGGAAAUGAUGCAGAAAAUCAAAGUAGGAGAUCUGAAGUCUGAGCCCGGAUGACUGUAGGCAUAUUAGAGGCUAUUCUGGGGCAGUAACAAUACAUACUUAUCCUCUUUUUGUACUCAUUCCAAGCAUACGCUCUCAGUCACUGUCAGAGGCAAUGGAGAGCACUAGGCAGACAUUGGGUUUGACACGGUACAGCCACAGUUACACUCCUAGGAGGAUGCGACGCUGGUGGGAAGGUGUGCCCAGCAGAUGCCCUGUGCUCCUUCUUACUGACUUUUCCAGCUAUGGGGAGGAGGUGGGAGCUUGGUCCCAUUCCAUCACAAAGCCAGGACACAGACAGAGACUCUCCAGGAGAGCCAUGACGCACGUCACGAAGAAGCCAUAACACAGACCCAGCCUGCGGGAACUGUGCAACCAAUGUCAAUAAGAGAAAGAUCAGAUGCUAGUCCUAAAAUUACUUGCUUUAAGUUAAUGUUAAACAUAUUGCCAAAGCAUCUUACACAAUUUCAAUUAUGCACCGAAAGAAUCUGCCAUGUGGAGUUCAAAUUUAAUUAUAUUGUCAUUUACUCCAAGGAAUGCUUGUGGUUUGAGCACUGUUUACAUUUAUUAUCUUCUGGUUUACAUUUUUUCCCAGAUUAAUAGAUCAUAAGAUACCACUGCAUCAAGAUUUAACAUUUAGACAGGAUACUAUUUUAACAUUAUGUGGUAACUCUUUAGAAACCAAACAAUUGUCAGCCUACUCCCGCUGAAGUAACUCUUUGUUCCAAAUGCAUGUCCCUCAAAGCCCUGGAAUGUCCUCAUGGUGAGGUGGCUGCCAAAUCCUGAAGCGAGUGCUGGGGUCAGUUUCCCUGCUGGUGCAACACUAAUGACCCCAUGGAGAUGUGCCAAAAGGGAUUUUGGCCAUCCGUGUAACUGCCCCCAGGAUGUUCAUUGCUCAGUUGUGCGGUACAAGCCCAUGCUGAGAACAUAUAAUGUGCCUUGGAUGCUUUAUCCCAGCAAAGCAGUUUGUCAGCUGGGUUAUACACAGAAAUAAAGAACCCGAAUGAUGCAUUAAUGCCAUAAGCAUGGUUCCAAGUGCCAAACUCCCUGGUGUAAGCAGUAAUUUUGAUCACAACCCAACCAUGUAAUGACAGGCUAACCACAAGACCAGUAUUCACCUCACAGCAGCAUGGUGGCUCUGGAUGCUGGCUGUGCCUCCUGGUGCAGGUUCCCUCCCAUACGGCCCAAGGCACUGACAUUUGCUGACACUCAUAUGUAUGUGCCCAGCCUGCUCAGAACCAGGGAUAGCCAGCAGGGAUUAGAUAUCCAGAUAGGAGAGUGCCACAUUAUCAAACCAAAAUUUUAUCUAUACAACAUCAUCUAAACAGCGUCAGUAAUAUUACAGUAUAGAAAAAGUAGUGAACUGAAAUUAUAGUGUAAAAAAAAUGCCUAGUCACAACACUUUACAGUAAAUAUUGUGAAAGUGAGGAAGAAAACACAGCAUUUCCCUCAGCUCUUCCCUACCCACUUUUCUUUAGGAAUGGUAUUUGACUGUGUUUCAUUUGAGAUUACCAUGCAGGUAUGAUGAAAUCUCAGGAUGUGCUCAGUCUAUACCAACUCUAGAUUUCUUUUCAAGCAAAUGUGUUGUUCAGUGCAGGCUCAAGCAGAGAAGAAAAAUGCUGUCGAGUCAGUGAAGACAGAUAUAUUCUCACUAAGUAUUAUAGUACACUAGACUGAGACAUACUAUAUAAUACAAUUAAGAUAAAGAUGUAUAUACAUAUGGAUUUUUGGGGGUCUGUUCCUGCCCUUUCUUGUGCAAGAGAAAACUUAUGACACUUUAAUAUAAACCUUGGGCUGUUUGGUUUUUUUUUGAGGACUGCAGAAUCAGGACACAUGAGUACUAACAAUGUGGGAGUCUGUGCACACUCCUCAGGCGUGUUGUUUAUUAGAACAGUGUACACAAGGUUGUCACCUGUACUAAUACUUCACUAAAAUAUACACGAUCUGAUCAAAGCUAUAUCCUUA